The sequence is a transfer RNA, 73 nucleotides long. It matches the Rfam family "tRNA". Rfam says of the family: Transfer RNA (tRNA) molecules are approximately 80 nucleotides in length. Their secondary structure includes four short double-helical elements and three loops (D, anti-codon, and T loops). The record is from Rfam.
GCCCAAGUGGCCAAAUGGAUAAGGCAUUGGUCUCCUAAACCAAAGAUUGCGGGUUCGAGUCCCGCUUUGGGUU